RNAcentral lists this long non-coding RNA (274 nucleotides) under Nicotiana benthamiana. RNAcentral's name for it is "long non-coding RNA (NBEN_LNC040312)". Lineage: Eukaryota; Viridiplantae; Streptophyta; Magnoliopsida; Solanales; Solanaceae. The record is from RNAcentral.
AACUUUGUUGUCUAUGUUUGUAUAUAAAGUUAGAUUAUAGAAUUCCAAGAAUUUGAAAGGGAAAAAUAAGUUACUUACCUUUAAGGUAUACCAAUUAUAUUUUCAAUGUUUUCUUCCUUUUCUCUUUGUUUUUCGUUUCUUUUCCUCCCUUUUUUUCGUUUCUUUUCCUUCAUUCUUCAUUCUUUCUUUGAAGCAAAACCUUGCACAAACAAAAGUUAAGACAAUGGAAAAUUAAAUUAGGAAGAGGGAAAUACCUUAGAUUUCUCGAGAAUGG